Molecule: ribosomal RNA, 539 nt
Filed under: uncultured Geobacteraceae bacterium
Lineage: Bacteria; Pseudomonadati; Thermodesulfobacteriota; Desulfuromonadia; Geobacterales; Geobacteraceae
Description: bacterial SSU rRNA
Rfam family: Bacterial small subunit ribosomal RNA
Source: RNAcentral
RRAKUUKSAUCCUGGCUCAGAACGAACGCUGGCGGCGUGCCUAACACAUGCAAGUCGAACGGGAUUAGGGGCUUGCUCCUAAUCUAGUGGCGCACGGGUGAGUAACGCGUAGAUAAUCUGCCUGACGAUCUGGGAUAACACUUCGAAAGAGGUGCUAAUACCGGAUAAGCCCACGGAGUCUUUGGAUUCUGCGGGAAAAGGGGGGGACCUUUUGGCCUUCUGUCGUCAGAUGAGUCUGCGUACCAUUAGCUAGUUGGCGGUGUAACGGACCACCAAGGCGACGAUGGUUAGCUGGUCUGAGAGGAUGAUCAGCCACACUGGAACCGAGACACGGUCCAGACUCCUACGGGAGGCAGCAGUGGGGAAUUUUGCGCAAUGGGCGAAAGCCUGACGCAGCAACGCCGCGUGAGUGAUGAAGGCUUUCGGGUCGUAAAGCUCUGUCGAGGGGAAAGAAGUGUAUUGAGGCUAAUAUCCUUGAUACUUGACGGUACCCCUAAAGGAGGCACCGGCUAACUCCGUGCCAGCAGCCGCGGUAAUAC